Molecule: ribosomal RNA, 468 nt
Filed under: uncultured bacterium
Lineage: Bacteria
Description: partial 16S ribosomal RNA
Rfam family: Bacterial small subunit ribosomal RNA
Source: RNAcentral
GACGAACGCUGGCGGCGUGCUUAACACAUGCAAGUCGAACGGAAAGGCCCUGCUUUUGUGGGGUGCUCGAUUGGCGAACGGGUGAGUAACACGCGAGUAUACUGCACUUGACUUUCGGAUAACUUCAGGAAACUGGGGCUAAUAUCCGAUAGGAGCUCCUGCUGCAUGGUGGGGGUUGGAAAGUUUCGGCUGUUGUGGAUGGACUCGCGGCUUAUCAGCUUGUUUGUGGGGUAGGGGUUUACCAAGGCUUUGACGGGUAGCCGGCCUGAGAGGGUGACCGGCGACAUUGGGCCUGAGAUACGGCCCAGUCUCGUACGGGAGGCAGCAGUGGGGAAUAUUGCACAAUGGGCGGAAGCCUGAUGUAGCAACGCCGCGUGCGGGAUGACGGCCUUCGGGUUGUAAACCGCUUUCGCAUGUGACGAAGCGUGAGUGACGGUAAUGGGUAAAGAAGCACCGGCUAACUACGUG